RNAcentral lists this ribosomal RNA (1191 nucleotides) under Mesomorphus sp. NLG-2012. RNAcentral's name for it is "partial 16S ribosomal RNA". Lineage: Eukaryota; Metazoa; Arthropoda; Insecta; Coleoptera; Tenebrionidae. The record is from RNAcentral.
AUCUUUAAAGUUAAAAAAUUUGGCGGUAUUUUAGUCUAUUCAGUGGAACCUGUUUUUUAAUUGAUAGUCCACGAUAAGAUUUACUUUGGUUUUAAAUUUAUAUAUCGUCGUUUAUAAGAAUUUUGGGGUUUAAUUCUUUCAGAUCAAGGUGUAGUUUAUAUCAAAGUUAAAAUGGGUUACAAUAAAUAUUCAAGAUAAAAUGGAUUUGAUAGUAAGCUCUAAAAUAUGCACAUAUCGCCCGUCGCUUUCAUUUUAAGAUGGAAUAAGUCGUAACAAAGUAGGCUUAUUGGAAAAUGAGCCUGGAAUGCAAAUUAGAGCUUGUUAAGCAUUUUAUUUACACUAAAAAGUUAAUUGUGAAAUUCAAUUUAAUUUGAUUUUAAUAUGUUAUUUAUUUUUUUUUGUUUAAGUUAUUGCUAGAAGAAUGUUAUUUUUUAUUAUUUGUAUGAAAAAAUUUUAUUAUAGAUUAAAGUAUUGUGAGAGAAUUAUUUUUAAGUUAAUAAAGAAGAUUUUUAUUAUUGGCCCUUGGGUAACGGGGUUUAUUAAUUAUUUUUUCCCGAAUUUAUAAGAGCUACUUUUACUGUGGAAUAAUUAUUUUAAAUUCUAUUGUUGUAAUGAAAUGUUAUUCGUUUUUAAAUAUAUCUGGUUUCUUAAGAAAUGAAUUUAAUUUAACUUUUAGAUAGAAUAAUUUUAGGGGAUAAGCUCUAAAAUUGAUUGUUAAAAAUUUUUAGUAAUAAUUGAUUUGUAGGAUUAGAAUUUUCCAUCAAUUAGAGGAUGUUUUAAUUAGUGAUUUUAACUUUUUUAUUAAGAUUUUUACUUUAAUAUUAUUGGUUUAGUAAUAAUGAUAAAAUUAGUAAGGUUGUUUUUAGGAAUUCGGCAAUUUAAAUUUUCACCUGUUUAUUAAAAACAUGUCCUUUUGGUAUAAUUUAAGGUCAGGCCUGCCCAAUGAUUUAAUGGCCGCAGUAUAUUGACUGUGCAAAGGUAGCAUAAUCAUUAGUUUCUUAAUUAGAAGCUGGAAUGAAUGGUUCGAUGAAAAAUUUACUGUCUUUAGAAUUUUAUUUUUGAGUGAGAAAGCUUAAAUUGAAUAUAAAGACGAGAAGACCCUAUAGAGUUUUUUUGUUGGGGUGAUGAAAAAAUUUAAUUAACUUUUUAUUUUAGUGAUUAAGUGAUCCUAGAUUAUAAGAUUAAAUUACC